This 26-nucleotide non-coding RNA is filed under the name Cricetulus griseus (Chinese hamster). The record is from RNAcentral. Lineage: Eukaryota; Metazoa; Chordata; Mammalia; Rodentia; Cricetidae.
GCAGCAUGGUAGACAUUCAACUCAAG